RNAcentral lists this ribosomal RNA (1554 nucleotides) under Salmonella enterica subsp. enterica serovar Braenderup. RNAcentral describes it as "bacterial SSU rRNA". It matches the Rfam family "Bacterial small subunit ribosomal RNA". The record is from RNAcentral. Lineage: Bacteria; Pseudomonadati; Pseudomonadota; Gammaproteobacteria; Enterobacterales; Enterobacteriaceae.
UUAAAUUGAAGAGUUUGAUCAUGGCUCAGAUUGAACGCUGGCGGCAGGCCUAACACAUGCAAGUCGAACGGUAACAGGAAGCAGCUUGCUGCUUUGCUGACGAGUGGCGGACGGGUGAGUAAUGUCUGGGAAACUGCCUGAUGGAGGGGGAUAACUACUGGAAACGGUGGCUAAUACCGCAUAACGUCGCAAGACCAAAGAGGGGGACCUUCGGGCCUCUUGCCAUCAGAUGUGCCCAGAUGGGAUUAGCUAGUUGGUGAGGUAACGGCUCACCAAGGCGACGAUCCCUAGCUGGUCUGAGAGGAUGACCAGCCACACUGGAACUGAGACACGGUUCAGACUCCUACGGGAGGCAGCAGUGGGGAAUAUUGCACAAUGGGCGCAAGCCUGAUGCAGCCAUGCCGCGUGUAUGAAGAAGGCCUUCGGGUUGUAAAGUACUUUCAGCGGGGAGGAAGGUGUUGUGGUUAAUAACCGCAGCAAUUGACGUUACCCGCAGAAGAAGCACCGGCUAACUCCGUGCCAGCAGCCGCGGUAAUACGGAGGGUGCAAGCGUUAAUCGGAAUUACUGGGCGUAAAGCGCACGCAGGCGGUCUGUCAAGUCGGAUGUGAAAUCCCCGGGCUCAACCUGGGAACUGCAUUCGAAACUGGCAGGCUUGAGUCUUGUAGAGGGGGGUAGAAUUCCAGGUGUAGCGGUGAAAUGCGUAGAGAUCUGGAGGAAUACCGGUGGCGAAGGCGGCCCCCUGGACAAAGACUGACGCUCAGGUGCGAAAGCGUGGGGAGCAAACAGGAUUAGAUACCCUGGUAGUCCACGCCGUAAACGAUGUCUACUUGGAGGUUGUGCCCUUGAGGCGUGGCUUCCGGAGCUAACGCGUUAAGUAGACCGCCUGGGGAGUACGGCCGCAAGGUUAAAACUCAAAUGAAUUGACGGGGGCCCGCACAAGCGGUGGAGCAUGUGGUUUAAUUCGAUGCAACGCGAAGAACCUUACCUGGUCUUGACAUCCACAGAACUUUCCAGAGAUGGAUUGGUGCCUUCGGGAACUGUGAGACAGGUGCUGCAUGGCUGUCGUCAGCUCGUGUUGUGAAAUGUUGGGUUAAGUCCCGCAACGAGCGCAACCCUUAUCCUUUGUUGCCAGCGAUUAGGUCGGGAACUCAAAGGAGACUGCCAGUGAUAAACUGGAGGAAGGUGGGGAUGACGUCAAGUCAUCAUGGCCCUUACGACCAGGGCUACACACGUGCUACAAUGGCGCAUACAAAGAGAAGCGACCUCGCGAGAGCAAGCGGACCUCAUAAAGUGCGUCGUAGUCCGGAUUGGAGUCUGCAACUCGACUCCAUGAAGUCGGAAUCGCUAGUAAUCGUGGAUCAGAAUGCCACGGUGAAUACGUUCCCGGGCCUUGUACACACCGCCCGUCACACCAUGGGAGUGGGUUGCAAAAGAAGUAGGUAGCUUAACCUUCGGGAGGGCGCUUACCACUUUGUGAUUCAUGACUGGGGUGAAGUCGUAACAAGGUAACCGUAGGGGAACCUGCGGUUGGAUCACCUCCUUACCUGAAAGAA